ACGGAGGGUGCAAGCGUUAUCCGGAAUCACUGGGUUUAAAGGGUGCGUAGGCGGUCUUGUAAGUCAGUCGUGAAAUCGCUGGGCUCAACCCAUGCAAUUGCGAUUGAUACUGCGAGACUUGAAUGGGGUUUAGGCAGGCGGAAUGUGGCAUGUAGCGGUGAAAUGCAUAGAUAUGCCAUAGAACACCGAUUGCGAAGGCAGCCUGCUGGGCCUUUAUUGACGCUGAGGCACGAAAGCGUGGGGAGCAAACAGGAUUAGAUACCCUGGUAGUCCACGCCCUAAACGAUGUUUACUUGCUGUUUGCCCUUUGGGGUGAGUGGCGUAGCGAAAGCGAUAAGUAAACCACCUGGGGAGUACGCCGGCAACGGUG
Molecule: ribosomal RNA, 370 nt
Filed under: uncultured bacterium
Lineage: Bacteria
Description: bacterial SSU rRNA
Rfam family: Bacterial small subunit ribosomal RNA
Source: RNAcentral